UUCAAAUGGCAUGUUGAAAAUUUUUUAUACUUUUCUCAAAAAUCAGUGGGGGGAAAAAUCAACCAAUUUAUCUUUCAUUUUUGCACUGGUAUGUAACUUUAUAUGUGAUUAUAAACAUUAUAAACUUUGACGCAGGAAGGCCUCGUUGUCAUCACCCUAAUCUUUAUCUCCAUCACCAAAGCGCUAAUAUUAUUUCCAGUCAGGAAACAAGGUUGGUAAAAAUCUAACAGUACUUUAAACCAAAAUCUGCCAAGAGUAUGAAGGCUGUAAUUGUGGGAUUACCUCCAGGAUCAGAGCGGUGAAACUGCACUGGUUUACACAUAAUUACUCAAGCAUAGUCACCAAACCUC
This is a long non-coding RNA of Poecilia latipinna (sailfin molly), 350 nucleotides long. RefSeq lists it as uncharacterized. The transcript has 3 exons. NCBI's taxonomy places the organism in Eukaryota, Metazoa, Chordata, Actinopteri, Cyprinodontiformes, Poeciliidae. The record is from RefSeq and is a predicted model, not a curated record.